Ostrea edulis (European flat oyster) is the source of this 620-nucleotide long non-coding RNA. RefSeq lists it as uncharacterized. The record is from RefSeq and is a predicted model, not a curated record. The transcript has 3 exons. NCBI's taxonomy places the organism in Eukaryota, Metazoa, Mollusca, Bivalvia, Ostreida, Ostreidae.
GGCAGGUCUAAAUAUUAUGAGAGUGAAAAAUCCGCGAAAAUAGGUAAUAUGACGUCACAAUCAGAUUUAUUUCUGACGUCUGGUAACAAAUAUUCCAUAAUAAGAGAUGAUGUUGUUAAAAUUUACGAACAAUUUUAUUGUUAUAUCAUGCAAUUAUGUAAUAAAUAAUAUUGAAGCUCUUAUAUCAAAUAAUUAAUCUACAUAAACAUUAAAACGGCCUUGUCAUUCAUUCCACCCGGUUGAAGUCCACGCAUGCGCACCUCGAAAUCGGCGUCUCAUGCGAGCUUGUCACGACACAAUGUCGAAGAAGAUGGAUGCAUUGGCCACUUGGUGUUAUUGCAAAGUUUACGGCUACAACAAUGUGUCAUGAUUGUCAUCCGACAAAAAGGGUUACAGCCAGUGAAUGUUAUGACUGCAUGAACUAUCAUGGUCUGCAAGCAUCAUGUAACCUGGACAUCCAACUAGCCAAGAAACAAUGCAGUGGUGGAUCCAGAAUUUGUUAAAUGCAUGAAAGACAAAAGACUCACCAUCAGGAUUGUGAAGUGCACAGGAAUCCUGGGAGUUUGGUUGACCAUUAACACAAAUGGUAUUAAUGUAGGCAUCUGAGGAGAAAUAGUUCC